AGCAUGGUCUUAGCUUGCUAAGGCUGAUGGCGACCGGCGCACGGGUGAGUAACACGUACCCAACCUGCCGUCUACUCUUGGCCAGCCUUCUGAAAGGAAGAUUAAUCCAGGAUGGCAUCAUGAGUUCACAUGUCCGCAUGAUUAAAGGUAUUUUCCGGUAGACGAUGGGGAUGCGUUCCAUUAGAUAGUAGGCGGGGUAACGGCCCACCUAGUUAACGAUGGAUAGGGGUUCUGAGUGGAAGGUCCCCCACAUUGGAACUGAGACACGGUCCAAACUCCUACGGGAGGCAGCAGUGAGGAAUAUUGGUCAAUGGGCGAUGGCCUGAACCAGCCAAGUAGCGUGAAGGAUGACUGCCCUAUGGGUUGUAAACUUCUUUUAUAAAGGAAUAAAGUCGGGUAUGCAUACCCGUUUGCAUGUACUUUAUGAAUAAGGAUCGGCUAACUCCGUGCCAGCAGCCGCGGUAAUACGGAGGAUCCGAGCGUUAUCCGGAUUUAUUGGGUUUAAAGGGAGCGUAGAUGGAUGUUUAAGUCAGUUGUGAAAGUUUGCGGCUCAACCGUAAAAUUGCAGUUGAUACUGGAUGUCUUGAGUGCAGUUGAGGCAGGCGGAAUUCGUGGUGUAGCGGUGAAAUGCUUAGAUAUCACGAAGAACUCCGAUUGCGAAGGCAGCCUGC
This 671-nucleotide ribosomal RNA is filed under the name uncultured Bacteroidales bacterium. Its description in RNAcentral is "bacterial SSU rRNA". It matches the Rfam family "Bacterial small subunit ribosomal RNA", at positions 68 to 729 of the family's 1533-position model. The record is from RNAcentral. Lineage: Bacteria; Pseudomonadati; Bacteroidota; Bacteroidia; Bacteroidales.